AGAAAACCCACGAUUCCACCUGAAGAGAAAUAACUCCCCAGUUCCCCCACCUAACACCCUUCUUUCUUCGAUUGUGCAUUCUAAAAGAAAAAGAAAUCAAUACUUCGAAAUUGUUUCCUCAGAGAAGAUAAAUCUUUCAAAUUUGGACUGAGGAAAUCCAUCAAUUUCUUCCUUAUCUGCAAGAUUUCAUCUGGUACGAAUAUCAGUAAGAAAUUCAAUUACUUAUUCCUUUGAUAUCCUGGGAUAGGUUUGGAUUCUCAAUUCUGAAUUCUAACAUUCUUCUCAAGGAAAACUCAUUACUUGGCUUUUAUUCUCUAGUAUUUAUUUGGUUUUUUAGAAUGUCAUCACAAUCAUUAGUGCACGUAGUUAUUCUUUGUGGUUCUUACAGGGACACGGGUGACGACCAAUAACCUCCAGCAACAAAGAAAUCAAGAGGCAUUGCUAAGUUAAAUUUUCUUACCAAGUUGAAAAAAAGGCGAGAAAGUGCCACCGGAAUUUUGCCAGCGUGAAUCAGUUAGCCCGAACACAAGAGUAAGAUCUCGACUUACUGUAGAAAACUGGCACAAAAUGGAGAAAACUUCCCUUUUGACAUUCAUGACUGGUCUGAAAUUCCAGAGAAGCAAGAAAAAAUUGAAGAGCUUAAGAUCAGUGUUUGGGUGGAGAAGAAAAUUCAUGAAAAAUGGAAGGCAAACAAACGUAAUAUGAUGGUGCAGCAUUGCAAUGAGGAAAAAAUUGUUGCACAAAACAAAGCUAAGGAAGUUAUUGAUACUAAGGUAUUCCCCUGAACUCCAGGAAGGGAAGAUUUGGAAGAGAAUCGUUCCGAUAAUGAUAUUUCAAUCCUAGAGGUCACUUCUCGUGACCAGCUGAGGUAUUCUAAAACUGUAGGAGCUGAGAAACCAGGUCGGAUUCUGUGAUGUUUGCUCAGUUAUUAAACUAAAUAAGCUUAAGGUGGCAUCUUCUUCAAUUUUUGGCCAAAAUAAAAAGGAGAACGUGGUAUUGGGAGAUGAAAUUAAGAAGUUGAAAGAGGAUCAGGUUGAUAUGCAAGAAGAAUGUCUUCAGAUGGAUUAAACUGUAGAGGAGAUGAAAAAGGAAAAUGAGAAAUCACAGCAAAAAAAUAGAUGCGCUAUUGCAACUACUAACUAGUGAGGGCAACUUCCCACAGCAACAGCUAUAGAAUUAUGAUCUUGCUAAAUUUAUCCAGGAUGCAUUAAAAGAUAUAUUAAGGUUGUCGGAUGAUGUAUGUUGGUUAACUUUAGAAGCAAGGAAUGUUAGAGCAUCCAUCGGCAAUACUGUACUAUCAGAUGAUGUAUGUUGAUUGUUAUUUUUCGUUUUUUCAUGUUAUUCUCCUAAAUAACUUGACUGAAAUACUGUACUAUCUAAUUUUUUAUUUGCCUUUGUUGAAUGUAAUCAAUCAACAAUUUUGUAUUAUAUGAUGUUUUAUUUUGAAUGAA
This is a long non-coding RNA of Papaver somniferum (opium poppy), 1451 nucleotides long. RefSeq lists it as uncharacterized. The record is from RefSeq and is a predicted model, not a curated record. The transcript is spliced from 7 exons. NCBI's taxonomy places the organism in Eukaryota, Viridiplantae, Streptophyta, Magnoliopsida, Ranunculales, Papaveraceae.